GACGAACGCUGGCGGCGUGCUUAACACAUGCAAGUCGAACGGAAAGGCCCUGCUUUUGUGGGGUGCUCGAUUGGCGAACGGGUGAGUAACACGUGAGUAACCUGCCCUUGACUUUGGGAUAACUUCAGGAAACUGGGGCUAAUACCGGAUAGGAUCUCCUGCUGCAUGGUGGGGGUUGGAAAGUUUCGGCGUUUGGGGAUGGACUCGCGGCUUAUCAGCUUGCUGGUCGGGUAGUGGCUUACCCAGGCUUUGACGGGUAGCCGGCAUGAGAGCGUGACCGGGGUCCAGGGGACUAAGGGACGCACCAGUCGGGAACAGGAGGCAGUGGGGGGGAAUAUUGCACAGUGGGCGCGCGCGGGUUACGGAGGCGCCCCGUGCGGAAUGACGGCCUUCGGGUUGAAAACAGCUGUCGCCUGUGACGAAGCGGGAGUGACGGUAAUGAGUAAAGAAGCACCGGCUAACUACGUG
This 468-nucleotide ribosomal RNA is filed under the name uncultured bacterium. RNAcentral describes it as "partial 16S ribosomal RNA". It matches the Rfam family "Bacterial small subunit ribosomal RNA", at positions 28 to 507 of the family's 1533-position model. The record is from RNAcentral.